Molecule: small nuclear RNA, 107 nt
Organism: Dipodomys ordii (Ord's kangaroo rat)
Lineage: Eukaryota; Metazoa; Chordata; Mammalia; Rodentia; Heteromyidae
Source: Ensembl
GUGUUCGCUUUGGCAGCACAUAUACUAAAAUUGGAACAAUAUGGAGAAGAUUAGCAUGGCCCCUGCACAAGGAUGCCAGGCAAAUUCAUGAAGUGUUCCGUAUUUUU